UACGUAGGGUGCUAGCGUUGUCCGGAUUUAUUGGGCGUAAAGGGCUCGUAGGCGGCCAACUAAGUCGGACGUGAAAUCCCUCGGCUUAACCGGGGAACUGCGUCCGAUACUGGAUGGCUUGAGUUCGGGAGAGGGAUGCGGAAUUCCAGGUGUAGCGGUGAAAUGCGCAGAUAUCGGGAAGAACACCUAUGGCGAAGGCAGCUCUCUGGGACGGUACUGACGCUGAGACGCGAAAGCGUGGGGAGCGAACAGG
This 253-nucleotide ribosomal RNA is filed under the name uncultured bacterium. Its description in RNAcentral is "partial 16S ribosomal RNA". It matches the Rfam family "Bacterial small subunit ribosomal RNA", at positions 524 to 776 of the family's 1533-position model. The record is from RNAcentral.